CAGCCUGAGCGAGAGCGAGUCCCCGCCCCGAGCUGGCCCUGCACCGCCCCCGCGCCCUCACCUUUCAAAGCUCCUCCGCCUCUGCCUCCGCCUUUGCCUCCGCCCCAGGUACCCUCUCCAGACUAGCCACGCUCCUCCUCCUUCCGGGGACCAGGGGAAGUCCCGCCUCUGGGAGGAGCAGGGGGCGGAGCCGGCGGCGGGAGGGGGCAUCUUCCGGGAGCGCGUGCUGGGGGAGGAGCGGUCGCCGCGCGUUAGUCAGGGAUCGGUGCGGGUCCUGGUUCCAAUUGAGCCUGUGCCAAAUGUGCUCCUGCCACAUCAUCCCCACUUGAGAACACUGCUAUAGAGCUACAAGAUUAUAGGUAUUUGGUCUGCUGUUCAAAUUAUUGAAGGUGAAAUGUCAGAUCCAGCUCUGAGGAUUUGAACCAUAGACCAGAUCUCUGGAGAGGAGACAGAUGUUCAAAGACAAAUUUCAGGGCAGGGAGGGUAGGUGAGAGGCCCGUGGGCAGAGUGAGAAGAGCAGCCCCAUUCACACAACGAAUGUCUGGUCGCUCAUCUGGCAUGCUUAAGACAGCCCUGAAAGAAUGUGCCAUCACCACAACAACUGGAGGCAAGAGAAGACAUCAACUCCAGAGCCCAUUGGUGUUAAAGAGCAGUGAUUAAAUCAUUCAGUGUGAAGUAUGAGCCUCAAGUCAAAUUCUGCCAGUGGAACUGAUGAGAGGUGGCGAAUGACUCAAAUGGAGGAGAGGAGAGAUUUGCAAGCUGGAGUGGGUUUGUGGAAAGGACUUCAUGUGAGUCCAGAUCAAGAAGCAAAAUGAAAAGAAUGAAAUUCUUGGACGGUUCAGUUUACAAGUUAAAACCUACAACUUACCCCUAGAGGGCGCUCUUCACUUUGUUAUCUCUCAGAAGCCUUGCCUGGCAAUGGCUGCCAUUCAAAUGGAAAACAUCGCACUUAAUGUUUGUGAAUUGUGUAAGAAUAAUCAGAAGAACCCCACAAUUCUGGGCAGAUUUUUUUACCCCUAACGCUUCUGUUGGUUGUGAUGUAAAGUCCUUGACUGAAUCAAAUGUAAACUGUAAGGAUUCAGCAAAUCCAGGUUGCCUGUGCAAAUAUCCAUAACAUGUAAUUCACUAUCAACAUUUUUAUUCUCAUAAAACAGACAAAGCACACAAUUAAGAAACUUUAUGCUUCUCUCAUGUUUUCACUUUCAUAGAAGCGAUUUUGCAUAUUGAUCACUUUCAUACCAUAUCUUUGUGAGAGGUUUUAUAGCACAAAGUCAAAUAGUUCAUUGGUUUCUUUCUUCUUCUUCUUUUUUUUUUUCCAGAAUGAUAAAUAAAUAAUUGACCUUAUAAAUAUCCUGAUCAUUGCACUAACUUCAUGGAGCUGAUCUAACAUAUCCCUAACUCUGAGAUUUUAUAAGUUUGCUUUCUUUUUUUUUUUUCAAUUAAAAAAAAUACUUAUUUAUUUUUGAGAGAGACACACAGAGUGUGAGUGGGAAGGGGCAGAGAGCUAGGGAGACACAGACUCUGAAGCAGGCUCCAGGCUCUGAGCUGUCAGCACAGAGCCCGACACAGGACCCACAAACUGUGAGAUCAUGACCUGAGCCGAAGUCAGAUGCUUAACCUACUGAGCCACCCAGGAACCCCUAUCAGUUUGCUUUCUCAGUAGAGUACAUGGUCGGUUGUAUUAUUUGAAAAUAUUUACUCUACUUCCUCAAAAUGGGCAGAAAAUACUUCCCCACUCCAUUAUGCUAGACUUGGUAAAUGGAAUGUGAGAAGUAACCAUGCUACUUUCAACAAAGACCUUAACUGUGAUUUAAUAUCUCUUGUGCUUCCUUUCUGUCGUGAGAAUGCAUUCGUUACACAUAGCAGUUGCCCCUUCAGCCUGGAACCCUGACUGUGAAGAUAUGUGAAACAGUGCCAAAGUAUUCACAGCCAAGUGGCACUUGCUAACAUGUCACAUGGGCAAGAAAUGUGUUUGUUGUUAUUAACUGCCAGAGUGUUGGGGUUGCUCUUUGUGCAGCGAGGAAGCUAAUAUAAAAACUGAUGGGGAGUAGGGUGCUGUUGUAUGAAAAAAAAAUCAGUGGCAAUUCCUUCGGGAUAAAGCUGUUGGUGGUGAGAAAGUAUUGAAGGAAACUGAAAAGUGGUAAUCAGUGUAAUAAUACAGGUUUGCUGCAGUGACCAUAACUGCAGAUAGCCUUCUCAUGAACUUGUGGCUUUAGCUGGAAAGGUAUUUAAAUGGAAUAUUGCUAGAGUGUGUUACUUGUUACUAGCUGCAUUUGGUAUUUUAAAAAUGAAAUGAAUCCAGAAAAUAACUGGCCUGUUUGCAGGAUGGCAUGAAAAAGAAAACAGGGAGCCUUAAAUUCUGGGAUUUCAGAGUUGAAAAAUGGGGCUGUUUUUAAUCUUCAAGUGACAAAAGAUAAAAUUGAGAAAUGUAUUGAGCUCAACACCACUGAUUAAGAUGUAGGCUGAAAACAAAUUGUGAGAGUGGCCACAAUUCCUGAAGGCAUGAGUCUGCAAUAGCUUGACAAGCCCACAGUGUCCUUAAGUCUAGAGAAAAACAUACGUCCACCAGAGAAUUCUGGCGUAGGCUGCUGGCGCACAAAAAUGGAAUCAAAUAAAUCAAUAGCUAACAAAGUCUUUGAAAGAGUUCUACUGCUCCAAGCACUGUCAUCCUCAAGUAAGAGUUUGUGACUUUUUGAGACAAUUUGGGCAAGAAGCUGGCUGACCAAGUUGCUCCUUCCCCCAGGAUGGCACAAUCCCCAAUGCCCUCCCAACAUACAACCAGGGAGGAUGAUAACAGAAAAAAAAAAAAAAAAAAAAAGAUGUCCUGGAGGGUUGGAGUCAAGACCCACAGAGAAAGAGGGACUGGGGAGCUACCUGCAGACAGCAGAACAGGGGCUUACUCAAGGAACAUUCCCUGCCCCAGGAUAGGAGGGCCUCUAAUGUUUGUUCAGCAGAACUUCCAAAGUGCUGUGUAUCAAUGAUUGAUUGUUAAGUGCUUCUCAUCCUUCCUCUUUACGAAUGGGGGCAUUUAUUGUAAUUAUUUAUACCCG
Long non-coding RNA from Acinonyx jubatus (cheetah), 3050 nucleotides. RefSeq lists it as uncharacterized. The record is from RefSeq and is a predicted model, not a curated record. The transcript has 6 exons. Lineage: Eukaryota; Metazoa; Chordata; Mammalia; Carnivora; Felidae.